UACGGGGGGGGCAAGCGUUGUUCGGAAUUACUGGGCGUAAAGGGCUCGUAGGCGGCCAACUAAGUCGGACGUGAAAUCCCCAGGCUCAACCUGGGAACUGCGUCCGAUACUGGAUGGCUUGAAUUCGGGAGAGGGAUGCAGAAUCCCAGGUGUAGCGGUGAAAUGCGUAGAUAUCUGGAGGAAUACCGGUGGCGAAGGCGGCAUCCUGGACCGACAUUGACGCUGAUGAGCGAAAGCCAGGGGAGCAAACGGG
This 253-nucleotide ribosomal RNA is filed under the name uncultured bacterium. Its description in RNAcentral is "partial 16S ribosomal RNA". It matches the Rfam family "Bacterial small subunit ribosomal RNA", at positions 524 to 776 of the family's 1533-position model. The record is from RNAcentral.